GAAGAGGAAAGGCCAAGAGAAGUUGAAAAGAGGAAAAUCUAGUAAAUCUGGUUCUCAUCACAGUGGCGAAAAGGGUAAUUUGCUGGAUCAGAUGAACAAUGCAACCUCACAAGGCACAUUGAAAUAUGUAAAAGUUGAUACUCCAAAUUUGAGUGCAAGCACCAGUGUGUGGGAUGAUUGGAGUAAAAGAGUUGAGAGUGUGCGUGAAUUAAGAUUUUCUUUGGAUGGCAAUAUUGUGAAGAGUGAAUUUGAUGUCUCAAAGAGUGGUAAUACAUCAUCUUAUGCUGAGCAAAAUCUUUCCGAGCGUGACUAUCUGCGAACUGAAGGUGAUCCUGGCGCGGCUGGUUACACCAUCAAAGAAGCAGUUGCUCUUGCAAGAAGUUUGGUACCUGGACAACGGACGUUUGCGUUCCAUCUUAUUGCAUCUGUGCUGGAUAGAGCAAUGCACAAUAUUCAGCAGAAUCAGCUGGGGUGUCUCUUAAGAUCUGAGGACAGAGAUGGACUUACU
Molecule: unclassified non-coding RNA, 508 nt
Filed under: Hevea brasiliensis (rubber tree)
Lineage: Eukaryota; Viridiplantae; Streptophyta; Magnoliopsida; Malpighiales; Euphorbiaceae
Source: RNAcentral